RNAcentral lists this transfer RNA (90 nucleotides) under Patescibacteria group bacterium. RNAcentral's name for it is "tRNA-Ser". It matches the Rfam family "tRNA". Rfam says of the family: Transfer RNA (tRNA) molecules are approximately 80 nucleotides in length. The record is from RNAcentral. RNAcentral also lists the same sequence under 1 other name.
GGAGAGGUGCUAGAGUGGUUUAAUAGGGCGCUCUCGAAAAGCGCUGUCCCGCUUGCGGGACCCUGGGUUCGAAUCCCAGCCUCUCCGCCA